Hyla sarda is the source of this 636-nucleotide long non-coding RNA. RefSeq lists it as uncharacterized. The record is from RefSeq and is a predicted model, not a curated record. The transcript has 4 exons. NCBI's taxonomy places the organism in Eukaryota, Metazoa, Chordata, Amphibia, Anura, Hylidae.
AGUUUUUUGUGGUGUUUUUUUUUUAAUUUUUGACCAAAAACACCUCAAACAACAAUGGCGUCUGUUCCUAGGCUUAGGCUGGGAUUAAACACGAUUUAUAGGCCUUUCAGAGGUUUUGAGAAAUCUCCCCGAGUGUCUAGUUAGGAGAAUCAAAUAUAAUGCACCCACAGCCAAUCAGAGAGCAGCACUGCCCAAAUUGAACUCCCACGAGGUAACAGUGUGUCAUAACCAUUGUCCACCAGAGAGCAGCACUGAGCAGAAAUAACACGGCUCCUGCUCAUUCUUCAUCAGUGAGGGGCCCAUGCUGGACACUGUAGGGACCCGGGAAUGCAGAUUCAUACACAUGACUGAUGCAGUAUUUCCAGGAUGUGGAGUCGCAUUUCCGGAUAGCAAGAAGUUAGAUGAAGGCACAGCCCCAGGAAUCACGCACAUACAUGAACACAUUUCCCCAAAUUCUAGAGGUAACCUCCUUUAGUAUGCCCAGAGGAAGGGCAGUACAGUAGCCAUGGAUUCCCUACAGGUUUCCUCCCCUCUGGAGGUUUUUCCUGUCCUCCGUGUUACUGUACGCUCUUUGUGAGUGAUGGAAGGUUACAAAAAAAUCCCUACACAAACAUUUUAAUAAAUAAUAAAUAAAGU